UGGGGAAUAUUGCACAAUGGGCGCAAGCCUGAUGCAGCCAUGCCGCGUGUGUGAAGAAGGCCUUCGGGUUGUAAAGCACUUUCAGCGGGGAGGAAGGCGGUGAGGUUAAUAACCUCAUCGAUUGACGUUACCCGCAGAAGAAGCACCGGCUAACUCCGUGCCAGCAGCCGCGGUAAUACGGAGGGUGCAAGCGUUAAUCGGAAUUACUGGGCGUAAAGCGCACGCAGGCGGUCUGUCAAGUCGGAUGUGAAAUCCCCGGGCUUAACCCGGGAAUUGCAUCUGAUACUGGUCAGCUAGAGUCUUGUAGAGGGGGGUAGAAUUCCAUGUGUAGCGGUGAAAUGCGUAGAGAUGUGGAGGAAUACCGGUGGCGAAGGCGGCCCCCUGGACAAAGACUGACGCUCAGGUGCGAAAGCGUGGGGAGCAAACAGG
RNAcentral lists this ribosomal RNA (429 nucleotides) under Chloroflexota bacterium. Its description in RNAcentral is "Chloroflexi bacterium partial 16S ribosomal RNA". It matches the Rfam family "Bacterial small subunit ribosomal RNA", at positions 355 to 776 of the family's 1533-position model. The record is from RNAcentral. Lineage: Bacteria; Bacillati; Chloroflexota.